AUGCAUCUCCGGGACGCACAGAUGAGAUGGAACUGUCCCACGCAUGUUCUCUGGGGCAGAAACGGCGGCAGAGCCUGCCGAGGCCACUCUUGCCAGCUGGCCAGGGCACAGCGUCUGACCCAGGAGGCUGUGACCUCGCUGCCCCAGGCCUGGCAUGGUCUGUGGACAGUGGCCUGUCCCACCAGCCACCAGGAACCUCCCUUCAGUGCCCACCCCAUCCACCUCGCCAAGACUGAUCUAGAAAUUAUUUAUAGAUCCGAACUCCACAGAAACCAUUGUGUCUGCUGUUGCCAUGGCAAUGGGGAUGUGGCAGGAGCGCCAGGCUCUCAGGCUUUCCAGGGCCUGUGGAGGCCGGCAAGGGCGGUCGAUUUCUACCAGGAGCCCCUGACUCACACCCGCCGUCAGAGACCCCCGGGAGCGAAGAAGACAGGCUUCCCACCCUUUUCCAGCAGGGCUGGCUGCAUCCAGGAAGACAGCGCUGCUGGCCCUGCUGCACCUGCUCCCUCUUAGGACUGAAUGCCCUACGAUCCCCACCGAAUGAGGAAGGACGCUAGAGGUUACAGGACUGGUCCCCGACCGCUCAGCCAGAAACAGGCUUUGAACCCUGCUGAACUCCGGUGGCACAGGCUGCACAAGGCUUGCGUCUCCCUGGAAGGGCCACUCCUCUCUGGUCAGCGAAAUCUCCUCCCCGCCCAGGAAUCUGGACGGCCCCUGCCAUUUGCCUGGUUGUUCCCCUACCCGAGUGCCCUCGAUUUUCCCCUCUGGUCGGGGCAGGAGCGGCAGGGCUGGAUGCCAGGGCCCCAGGGGCAGGGAGGUGAGUGGGCACCACUCCUUCCCCCACGGGUAAGGUGGACAUCCAGCUUCGGACCACAUCACAGACGCCCAGGCCCCCAGCCACAGCCGGGAUCACUCAGCUGGGUAACGUCUCCACUUCCCAGCUGGGCCAGAACUUUUCCAUGCUGCCAGGACUUGCAAGAAAACAGCUGUCUGGCUGGUGAGUAGAGGGGCCUGGCCCUGGGUGGCCUUCCUGGCUGGUUGGCCCCAGGGACUCAGCAGGCACAAAAACAGCCUUGCUUCUCCCCAGCUGCCGGCUCAAGGUCUGAGGGACCCUGACAGGCCUGUCCCCGGCUCAGGGCUGGCUGUGCUUCCCUUCCAGGCUGAACAGAAAGCAAAACAUCAGCCUGCUGGCCCGUGGGGGUUGGGGGCGGGUCACUGCCCUCUAACAGCCUGGACAUUCUUGCAGCCACUUGAGCUCAAGAGGUUUAAAAGUUCCCACUGCUUGGAGGACAAGGACAGCCCAAGAGAGUCUGCUGGUGCAGGCAGUGGAUAUCUGAUUCCCCCAGGAGCAGGGAUUUCUGUGGGACUCCUGGAGGACUUUGCGGGCCUGUGAACCUAGCAAGAAAAAUGUAUGUACUUGUUUUCACCAACAUUUAACUCACACACACAGACCCUGGACUCGGGGGGAUCAGUCAGCUGUGACUUUGCUGCUCACAGACACCUCGACAGGGAUCCCGCAGCUAUUGUCCAGAGAGACGUCUCACAGCAGCACGGUCUUUACCUCCUCUUCCAGGUAGGCGCUGUGAUCACCCCCACUUUACAGAUGAGAAAAGCCAGGCUGGGUGAUGCCAUGACUCAGGGUUCCCCAGCUUGUGAACUGGUAUUCGAGCCCAGGUCCAUCUGAGCCCCUGGGGUUAAUGCACUAAACCAGAAUUGCAGGAUUCCACAGCGGCAGACCGCCCCACACAGGCCCACCUCUAACAAAGGAGAUGGGAUGGUUAGAGCUGGUUAUUUAAUGUGCUGUAAAGAAACCCCUGUCACUAAAUCUCCAUCUAGAGUUAUAUAUGUAACUGACUUUGAUUAUAGUCUAUGCAUUUAUUUAUGCAUUUAAAACAUUAUUCUGGGCAGGGAUCCACAGACUUUAGUGGAAUGGCAAAAGGAUCCAUGGCAUGAAUAGUGUUGAGAACCCUUGCUUUAGAACCUGCUGGUAAAAUCAUAAUGAGGAGGUGGAAAACACAGUGCGACUUCCAUGAGGGCGGGGCCUGCCUGUCUCUUGUUCCGGCAUCUAAAGGAGCUCUUGGUCAGGAAAAGCAUCUGAUUUCCCUAAGUUUACACCUUUUUCCUGUUCCCACCCCACUAUCUCCAUCAGUAUCAUCAAAGCUGUUGUAGAGUGCCCUGCAAAUGCAGCCUCAAGACAAACCCUUCUGGUGAGGCUGCUGCCAGGACAGUUCUCCCGUAUAAACACUGGAGCAGCCAUGUCCCUCAAAAACCACCUAUGGGAGAGGUGAGUUCCAGAGGGGUGUGCAGAAAUGGCUCUGCAAAUCCAGUCCAGGUGCAAAUCCUGGCCCCAUGAUUCACUAGCUGGGUGACCUUGAGUGAUUUCCCUAACCUUUCUGGCCCUUGUUUCCUUAUCUGUGAUAUAGGCUUAAUCAUAGAACAAUAAAAAAUAUUUCAUAUUUGCCUGAUCACAUAUCUAUGCAUUUAUUCACCCACCCAUCCAACCAUUAGUCCAUUCACUCACCCAUCCAUCCAUCCAUCCAUCCAUCCACCCACCCAUCCACCUAUUCAUCC
This is a long non-coding RNA of Macaca fascicularis (crab-eating macaque), 2568 nucleotides long. The record is from Ensembl. NCBI's taxonomy places the organism in Eukaryota, Metazoa, Chordata, Mammalia, Primates, Cercopithecidae.